This 2835-nucleotide ribosomal RNA is filed under the name Escherichia coli. RNAcentral describes it as "bacterial LSU rRNA". It matches the Rfam family "Bacterial large subunit ribosomal RNA". Lineage: Bacteria; Pseudomonadati; Pseudomonadota; Gammaproteobacteria; Enterobacterales; Enterobacteriaceae. The record is from RNAcentral.
CUGAACAAGAACCGUUAUAACCGGCGAUUUCCGAAUGGGGAAACCCAGUGUGAUUCGUCACACUAUCAUUAACUGAAUCCAUAGGUUAAUGAGGCGAACCGGGGGAACUGAAACAUCUAAGUACCCCGAGGAAAAGAAAUCAACCGAGAUUCCCCCAGUAGCGGCGAGCGAACGGGAGAGCCCCAGAGCCUGAAUCAGUGUGUGUGUUAGUGGAAGCGUCUGGAAAGGCGCGCGAUACAGGGUGACAGCCCCGUACACAAAAAUGCACAUAUUGUGAGCUCGAUGAGUAGGGCGGGACACGUGGUAUCCUGUCUGAAUAUGGGGGGACCAUCCUCCAAGGCUAAAUACUCCUGACUGACCGAUAGUGAACCAGUACCGUGAGGGAAAGGCGAAAAGAACCCCGGCGAGGGGAGUGAAAAAGAACCUGAAACCGUGUACGUACAAGCAGUGGGAGCACGCUUAGGCGUGUGACUGCGUACCUUUUGUAUAAUGGGUCAGCGACUUAUAUUCUGUAGCAAGGUUAACCGAAUAGGGGAGCCGAAGGGAAACCGAGUCUUAACUGGGCGUUAAGUUGCAGGGUAUAGACCCGAAACCCGGUGAUCUAGCCAUGGGCAGGUUGAAGGUUGGGUAACACUAACUGGAGGACCGAACCGACUAAUGUUGAAAAAUUAGCGGAUGACUUGUGGCUGGGGGUGAAAGGCCAAUCAAACCGGGAGAUAGCUGGUUCUCCCGAAAGCUAUUUAGGUAGCGCCUCGUGAAUUCAUCUCCGGGGGUAGAGCACUGUUUCGGCAAGGGGGUCAUCCCGACUUACCAACCCGAUGCAAACUGCGAAUACCGGAGAAUGUUAUCACGGGAGACACACGGCGGGUGCUAACGUCCGUCGUGAAGAGGGAAACAACCCAGACCGCCAGCUAAGGUCCCAAAGUCAUGGUUAAGUGGGAAACGAUGUGGGAAGGCCCAGACAGCCAGGAUGUUGGCUUAGAAGCAGCCAUCAUUUAAAGAAAGCGUAAUAGCUCACUGGUCGAGUCGGCCUGCGCGGAAGAUGUAACGGGGCUAAACCAUGCACCGAAGCUGCGGCAGCGACGCUUAUGCGUUGUUGGGUAGGGGAGCGUUCUGUAAGCCUGUGAAGGUGUGCUGUGAGGCAUGCUGGAGGUAUCAGAAGUGCGAAUGCUGACAUAAGUAACGAUAAAGCGGGUGAAAAGCCCGCUCCGCCGGAAGACCAAGGGUUCCUGUCCAACGUUAAUCGGGGCAGGGUGAGUCGACCCCUAAGGCGAGGCCGAAAGGCGUAGUCGAUGGAAACAGGUUAAUAUUCCUGUACUUGGUGUUACUGCGAAGGGGGGACGGAGAAGGCUAUGUUGGCCGGGGCGACGGUUGUCCCGGUUUAAGCGUGUAGGCUGGUUUUCCAGGCAAAUCCGGAAAAUCAAGGCUGAGGCGUGAUGACGAGGCACUACGGUGCUGAAGUAACAAAUGCCCUGCUUCCAGGAAAAGCCUCUAAGCAUCAGGUAACAUCAAAUCGUACCCCAAACCGACACAGGUGGUCAGGUAGAGAAUACCAAGGCGCUUGAGAGAACUCGGGUGAAGGAACUAGGCAAAUGGUGCCGUAACUUCGGGAGAAGGCACGCUGAUAUGUAGGUGAAGCGACUUGCUCGUGGAGCUGAAAUCAGUCGAAGAUACCAGCUGGCUGCAACUGUUUAUUAAAAACACAGCACUGUGCAAACACGAAAGUGGACGUAUACGGUGUGACGCCUGCCCGGUGCCGGAAGGUUAAUUGAUGGGGUCAGCGCAAGCGAAGCUCUUGAUCGAAGCCCCGGUAAACGGCGGCCGUAACUAUAACGGUCCUAAGGUAGCGAAAUUCCUUGUCGGGUAAGUUCCGACCUGCACGAAUGGCGUAAUGAUGGCCAGGCUGUCUCCACCCGAGACUCAGUGAAAUUGAACUCGCUGUGAAGAUGCAGUGUACCCGCGGCAAGACGGAAAGACCCCGUGAACCUUUACUAUAGCUUGACACUGAACAUUGAGCCUUGAUGUGUAGGAUAGGUGGGAGGCUUGGAAGUGUGGACGCCAGUCUGCAUGGAGCCGACCUUGAAAUACCACCCUUUAAUGUUUGAUGUUCUAACGUUGACCCGUAAUCCGGGUUGCGGACAGUGUCUGGUGGGUAGUUUGACUGGGGCGGUCUCCUCCUAAAGAGUAACGGAGGAGCACGAAGGUUGGCUAAUCCUGGUCGGACAUCAGGAGGUUAGUGCAAUGGCAUAAGCCAGCUUGACUGCGAGCGUGACGGCGCGAGCAGGUGCGAAAGCAGGUCAUAGUGAUCCGGUGGUUCUGAAUGGAAGGGCCAUCGCUCAACGGAUAAAAGGUACUCCGGGGAUAACAGGCUGAUACCGCCCAAGAGUUCAUAUCGACGGCGGUGUUUGGCACCUCGAUGUCGGCUCAUCACAUCCUGGGGCUGAAGUAGGUCCCAAGGGUAUGGCUGUUCGCCAUUUAAAGUGGUACGCGAGCUGGGUUUAGAACGUCGUGAGACAGUUCGGUCCCUAUCUGCCGUGGGCGCUGGAGAACUGAGGGGGGCUGCUCCUAGUACGAGAGGACCGGAGUGGACGCAUCACUGGUGUUCGGGUUGUCAUGCCAAUGGCACUGCCCGGUAGCUAAAUGCGGAAGAGAUAAGUGCUGAAAGCAUCUAAGCACGAAACUUGCCCCGAGAUGAGUUCUCCCUGACUCCUUGAGAGUCCUGAAGGAACGUUGAAGACGACGACGUUGAUAGGCCGGGUGUGUAAGCGCAGCGAUGCGUUGAGCUAACCGGUACUAAUGAACCGUGAGGCUUAACCUUACAACGCCGAAGCUGUU